RNAcentral lists this ribosomal RNA (506 nucleotides) under uncultured bacterium. RNAcentral's name for it is "bacterial SSU rRNA". It matches the Rfam family "Bacterial small subunit ribosomal RNA", at positions 25 to 518 of the family's 1533-position model. The record is from RNAcentral.
CAGGACGAACGCUGGCGGCGUGCCUAACACAUGCAAGUCGAGCGGGGACAUGCGACGGAUAGGAAGUUUCGGAUGGACUUGAAGAUGCAUUGUUCUAGCGGCGGACGGGUGAGUAACGCGUGAGCAACCUGUCCCUUACAGGGGAUAACACAGCGAAAGUUGUACUAAUACCGCAUAAGACCACGGGAGGACAUCCUUCAGGGGUCAAAGGAGCAAUCCGGUAAGGGGUGGGCUCGCGUCCGAUUAGAUAGUUGGUGAGGUAACGGCCCACCAAGUCGACGAUCGGUAGCCGACCUGAGAGGGUGAUCGGCCACAUUGGGACUGAGACACGGCCCAAACUCCUACGGGAGGCAGCAGUGGGGAAUAUUGGGCAAUGGGGGGAAACCCUGACCCAGCAACGCCGCGUGAGGGAAGAAGGUUUUCGGAUCGUAAACCCCUGUCCUUGGUGAAGAGGAAGAGACGGUAGCCAAGGAGGAAGCCCCGGCUAACUACGUGCCAGCCGCUGC